Molecule: ribosomal RNA, 468 nt
Filed under: uncultured bacterium
Lineage: Bacteria
Description: partial 16S ribosomal RNA
Rfam family: Bacterial small subunit ribosomal RNA
Source: RNAcentral
GACGAACGCUGGCGGCGUGCUUAACACAUGCAAGUCGAACGGAAAGGCCCUGCUUUUGUGGGGUGCUAGAGUGGCGAACGGGUGAGUAACACGUGAGUCACCUGGCCUUGACUUUGGGACAACUUGAGGAGACUGGUGCUACUACCGGCUAGGAGAUCCUGCUGCAUGGUGGGGGUUGGAAAGCUUCGGCGGAAGGGGAUGGAUUCCCGGGUUAUCAGCUUGUGGGUGGGGUAUUGGCUUACCAAGGCUUUGACGGGUAGCCGGCCUGAGAGCGUGACCGGCCACAUUGGGACUGAGAUACGGCCCAGACUCCUACGGGAGGCAGCAGUGGGGAAUAUUGCACAAUGGGGGGAAGCGUGAUGCAGCAACGCCGCGUGCGGGAUGACGGCCUUCGGGUUGUAAACCGCUUUCGCCUGUGACGAAGCGUGAUUGACGGUAAUGGGUAAAGAAGCACCGGCUAACUACGUG